AAAGAUUAAGCCAUGCAUGUCUAAGCACAUGCCUUAAUACGGUGAAGCCGCGAAUAGCUCAUUACAACAGCCACCGUUUACUAGAAUAUAGUUAUCCUACUUGGAUAACUGUGGCAAUUCUAGAGCUAAUACAUGCAAAAAAGCUCUGCCCGCAAGGAACGAGCGCAUUUACUAGAAUAAAAACCAAUCGGGUUUCGGCCCGUAAUUUGGUGAAUCUGAAUAACUUUGCCAAUCGCACAGUCUUAGUACUGGCGAUGUAUCUUUCAAGUGUCUGCCUUAUCAACUUUCGAUGGUAGGUUAUACGCCUACCAUGGUAGUAACGGGUAACGGAGAAUAAGGGUUCGACUCCGGAGAGGGAGCCUGAGAAACGGCUACCACAUCCAAGGAAGGCAGCAGGCGCGCAAAUUACCCACUUCCAGAACGGAGAGGUAGUGACGAAAAAUAACGAGACAGUCCUCUUCGAGGUCUGUCAUCGGAAUGGGUACAAUUUAAAUCCUUUAACGAGGAUCUAUUGGAGGGCAAGUCUGGUGCCAGCAGCCGCGGUAAUUCCAGCUCCAAUAGCGUAUAUUAAAGUUGUUGCGGUUAAAACGCUCGUAGUUGGAUCUGCGGCCUCGGAGAACGGUCCCCCGAAAGGGUGGUCACUGUCUCUCCUAGCCUAAAUUCGAGUCGUCUCUAGGUGCUCUUUACCGAGUGCUUAGAGUGACUAGAACGUUUACUUUGAAAAAAUUAGAGUGCUUAAAGCAGGCGAAAUAGCCUGAAUAAGGUGCAUGGAAUAAUGGAAUAGGACCUCGGUUCUAUUUUGUUGGUUUCCGGAACCCGAGGUAAUGAUUAAGAGGAACAGACGGGGGCAUUCGUAUUCCGGCGCUAGAGGUGGAAUUCUUGGACCGCCGGAAGACGGACGACUGCGAAAGCAUUUGCCAAGAAUG
RNAcentral lists this ribosomal RNA (926 nucleotides) under Aporcelaimellus cf. paraobtusicaudatus JH-2004. RNAcentral describes it as "SSU rRNA". It matches the Rfam family "Eukaryotic small subunit ribosomal RNA", at positions 39 to 966 of the family's 1831-position model. Lineage: Eukaryota; Metazoa; Nematoda; Enoplea; Dorylaimida; Aporcelaimidae. The record is from RNAcentral.